UGGACGUCGAGCGGCGGACGGGUGAGUAACGGCUGGGAACCUGCCCUGACGAGGGGGAUAACCGUUGGAAACGACGGCUAAUACCGCAUAAUGUCUUAGUUCAUUACGAGCUGGGACCAAAGGUGGCCUCUACAUGUAAGCUAUCGCGUUAGGAUGGGCCCAGUUAGGAUUAGCUAGUUGGUAAGGUAACGGCUUACCAAGGCGACGAUCCUUAGCUGGUUUGAGAGGAUGAUCAGCCACACUGGGACUGAGACACGGCCCAGACUCCUACGGGAGGCAGCAGUGGGGAAUAUUGCACAAUGGGGGAGACCCUGAUGCAGCCAUGCCGCGUGUGUGAAGAAGGCCUUCGGGUUGUAAAGCACUUUCAGCAGUGAGGAAGGUAGUGUACUUAAUACGUGCAUUGCUUGACGUUAGCUGCAGAAGAAGCACCGGCUAACUCCGUGCCAGCAGCCGCGGUAAUACGGAGGGUGCGAGCGUUAAUCGGAAUUACUGGGCGUAAAGCGCAUGCAGGCGGUUUGUUAAGUCAGAUGUGAAAGCCCGGGGCUCAACCUCGGAACCGCAUUUGAAACUGGCAGGCUAGAGUCUUGUAGAGGGGGGUAGAAUUUCAGGUGUAGCGGUGAAAUGCGUAGAGAUCUGAAGGAAUACCAGUGGCGAAGGCGGCCCCCUGGACAAAGACUGACGCUCAGAUGCGAAAGCGUGGGUAGCAAACAGGAUUAGAUACCCUGGUAGUCCACGCCGUAAACGAUGUCUACUUGGAGGCUGAGGUUUAAGACUUUGGCUUUCGGAGCUAACGCAUUAAGUAGACCGCCUGGGGAGUACGGCCGCAAGGUUAAAACUCAAAUGAAUUGACGGGGGCCCGCACAAGCGGUGGAGCAUGUGGUUUAAUUCGAUGCAACGCGAAGAACCUUACCUACUCUUGACAUCCAGCGAAUCCUUUAGAGAUAGAGGAGUGCCUUCGGG
RNAcentral lists this ribosomal RNA (960 nucleotides) under Salinivibrio sp. RNAcentral describes it as "bacterial SSU rRNA". It matches the Rfam family "Bacterial small subunit ribosomal RNA", at positions 85 to 1024 of the family's 1533-position model. The record is from RNAcentral. Lineage: Bacteria; Pseudomonadati; Pseudomonadota; Gammaproteobacteria; Vibrionales; Vibrionaceae.